GGCCAGGUAGCUCAGUUGGUAGAGCAGCGGACUGAAAAUCCGCGUGUCGGCGGUUCGAUUCCGCCCCUGGCCACCA
Molecule: transfer RNA, 76 nt
Filed under: Burkholderiales bacterium
Lineage: Bacteria; Pseudomonadati; Pseudomonadota; Betaproteobacteria; Burkholderiales
Also listed under: 10 other names
Description: tRNA-Phe
Rfam family: tRNA
About the family: Transfer RNA (tRNA) molecules are approximately 80 nucleotides in length. Their secondary structure includes four short double-helical elements and three loops (D, anti-codon, and T loops).
Source: RNAcentral